GCCCCUGUGGCGGAACUGGUAGACGCGGCAGACUCAAAAUCUGUUAUCCAAAAGAUGUGGGAGUUCGACUCUCCCCGGGGGCACCA
Molecule: transfer RNA, 86 nt
Filed under: Alphaproteobacteria bacterium
Lineage: Bacteria; Pseudomonadati; Pseudomonadota; Alphaproteobacteria
Description: tRNA-Leu
Rfam family: tRNA
About the family: Transfer RNA (tRNA) molecules are approximately 80 nucleotides in length. Their secondary structure includes four short double-helical elements and three loops (D, anti-codon, and T loops).
Source: RNAcentral